Molecule: ribosomal RNA, 464 nt
Filed under: uncultured bacterium
Lineage: Bacteria
Description: partial 16S ribosomal RNA
Rfam family: Bacterial small subunit ribosomal RNA
Source: RNAcentral
GACGAACGCUGGCGGCGUGCUUAACACAUGCAAGUCGAACGGAAAGGCCCUGCUUGCAGGGUACUCGAGUGGCGAACGGGUGAGUAACACGUGGGUGAUCUGCCCUGCACUUCGGGAUAAGCCUGGGAAACUGGGUCUAAUACCGGAUAGGAGCCAUUUUUAGUGUGAUGGUUGGAAAGUUUUUUCGGUGUAGGAUGAGCUCGCGGCCUAUCAGCUUGUUGGUGGGGUAAUGGCCUACCAAGGCGGCGACGGGUAGCCGGCCUGAGAGGGUGGACGGCCACAUUGGGACUGAGGUACGGCCCAGACUGCUACGGGAGGCAGCAGUGGGGAAUAUUGCACGAUGGGCGCAAGCCUGAUGCAGCGACGCCGCGUGGGGGAUGACGGCCUUCGGGUUGUAAACUCCUUUCGCUAGGGACGAAGCUUUUUGUGACGGUACCUAGAUAAGAAGCACCGGCUAACUACGU